AUUUUCAUUUUGAAGAUGUGAGGCACUUGGCACAGCAGGGUGGUCUGCAGCAUUGAAAUUGCUACUCCAACAUGACAGACACCCUUGCAGAAAGAGGUCACAGUUGAGCAGUUUCAGGUGGAACCUACCUCGGCAAUGCAACACUUUUGGACACUACAUCGGCAUGUGCCUUUCCAUUUUGUUUUUCCUCUUCUCCCCUGGGAAGGAAGUAAACCUGGAUAUCAGCAGUCAAGGUUGAGUGAGUGAGGUGGCCCACUUGUAUUAUGCCUGCAGGGGCUGAACCCCCUCAUGGACCAGCUGAUGGAGCCAGUUUAUCACCCUUGAGCUGCCCCUGUGAGCCUUCCAGAAGUAUUACAGGGCUCUGUGAUGAAGCCUGUACCUUUUCUGUUUGAAGGGAUACCCUGCGAUGUCGGCCUCGGAGUGCGGCCACAGCGUGUGAGCCGAGGACCGGGGCGUUCUCAGGAGCCGUAGACUGAGAGAACAGCCCUCUGAGGGCAGGAGCUUCCCAGAUGAUGAGGCGGCUUUCUUUUGCACCUGAUGAGGAUUUGCAUCCCUGGAUAUCCAAGAGCUAAGUCGAGGGCUACACCUCAGGGAGGGGGAUGAGAGUGGGGUGCUGGGUCAGGACUUGGUGGGAGGGAUUUUUGAAUUAGCUUUGGAGAUGGGGAUGUCCACGAGAGGGCCCCUUAGGCCACGUAAAGGCCAAGUCUCGCUUUUGAUCACAAUGCUGAGGUGUGCAGGGCAGAGCAGUCCCUGUGCGUGUUGUGUCACUUGUCUAUUGUGUGUUCUGUGUCUCUUGGGCAUCUUGUGUCACAUGUCUUUUGCCUUACCCCUUUGAGGGGCUUAUCUGAAAUGCUGGGCAUCAUCCUUAGCAUCUCCUUUGUGUUCCUUGGCCCGACGCUGGUACCCUUGAACCUUUGACUUGCAAGCUCAGACAUGCAUCGGAAUCGCAUCUCUCUUUAGCACUCUUGAGUCAGACACCUUUUACAGUCUUGUUCUGAGCUGUAUUGACAGCUGUGCACCGCAAUGAUCCCUUAUAACAGAUUAGGACUUGGGAGAAUGCGAGGAUAGGUAGAGGAUUCCAACCGUACGAUUCUCGGGCAUCCAUCUUUGCGGUUCUUGGCAUAAGUCCUUCUGUUAGGGUCUUUUUCUGCCAGAGUUCUUUGAGCCUCAUUGGCCUCAUCUAGGUCAUCUCAUUGGUAAUUCUUCUUGCUGAGAGUUUCCUCUCCUUGUUGCAUCCCCUGGUUUGUCAUCUCCUGUGUCACAGGUGUCUGUGUGUUUGGCCUGGGGCUGCUUUGCCCUGCUACAUAGCCUGGGUGUAGGUGUAAUAGGAUAAGUCCUAGGGACUUGACAUUUGUAAUGUAGGGAUUAGUUGGACUCAAGAUGGUAUUUCUAGAUUGGCACAAGAUGUCUGGAGGUGGUAAGUUCUCAUGCGGUACUUUGACUUUUGUCAUCACCUUCUUUCAGAUGCAGAUGGAUUGAAUCUGUGGCAGAGCGCCCCAUACCAGGUGAGGUGGUUCCCACAGGAAGGAAGUAAUGCUGAAUAUCAGUGGUCAAGGUCGAUGGAGCGAGGUGGUCCACUGAGAAGGUGUCCCGGCCCUGGGAUGCUGGAGGCCAGGUGCUGCUGCUGCCCUGGGCAUGCCAAGGGACAGAGGCGAGCAGGUGAGUUGGCAUUUAGGUGGGGCGACUGA
This is a long non-coding RNA of Corvus hawaiiensis (hawaiian crow), 1688 nucleotides long. RefSeq lists it as uncharacterized. The record is from RefSeq and is a predicted model, not a curated record. The transcript is spliced from 9 exons. NCBI's taxonomy places the organism in Eukaryota, Metazoa, Chordata, Aves, Passeriformes, Corvidae.